RNAcentral lists this ribosomal RNA (506 nucleotides) under uncultured bacterium. RNAcentral describes it as "partial 16S ribosomal RNA". It matches the Rfam family "Bacterial small subunit ribosomal RNA", at positions 29 to 523 of the family's 1533-position model. The record is from RNAcentral.
AGUGAACGCUGGCGGUAGGCCUAACACAUGCAAGUCGGACGGCAGCACAGGAGAGCUUGCUCUCUGGGUGGCGAGUGGCGGACGGGUGAGGAAUACAUCGGAAUCUACUUUUUCGUGGGGGAUAACGUAGGGAAACUUACGCUAAUACCGCAUACGACCUACGGGUGAAAGCAGGGGACCUUCGGGCCUUGCGCGAUUGAAUGAGCCGAUGUCGGAUUAGCUAGUUGGCGGGGUAAAGGCCCACCAAGGCGACGAUCCGGAGCUGGUCUGAGAGGAUGAUCAGCCACACUGGAACUGAGACACGGUCCAGACUCCUACGGGAGGCAGCAGUGGGGAAUAUUGGACAAUGGGCGCAAGCCUGAUCCAGCCAUACCGCGUGGGUGAAGAAGGCCUUCGGGUUGUAAAGCCCUUUUGUUGGGAAAGAAAUCCAGCUGGCUAAUACCCGGUUGGGAUGACGGUACCCAAAGAAUAAGCACCGGCUAACUUCGUGCCAGCCGCCGCGGUAA